UAGGGGGUAAUAGUCCCGUAAGUGAAAACUAUGAUAAUCAGUUCUGCACCAGAGUACCACGAGACACGUGAAACCUUGUGGGAAGCAGGGAGGACCACCUCCCAAGGCUAAAUACUACCUGAUGACCGAUAGUGAAGCAGUACCGUGAGGGAAAGGUGAAAAGAACCCCGGGAGGGGAGUGAAAUAGAACCUGAAACCAUGUGCCUACAACCGAUCAAAGCACCUUAUGUGUGUGAUGAUGUGCUUUUUGUAGAACGAGCCAACGAGUUACGGUAUGUAGCAAGGUUAAGUACUUAAGGUACGGAGCCGAAGGGAAACCGAGUCUUAAUAGGGCGACUAGUUGCAUGCUGUAGACCCGAAACCGGGUGACCUAUCCAUGGCCAGGUUGAAGCGAGGGUAAAACCUCGUGGAGGACCGAACCACGUUGCUGUUGAAAAAGCAUGGGAUGAGCUGUGGAUAGCGGAGAAAUUCCAAUCGAACUCGGAUAUAGCUGGUUCUCCUCGAAAUAGCUUUAGGGCUAGCGUCGGAAAAUGUGAGUAGUGGAGGUAGAGCACUGAAUAGGCUAGGGGGCAUAGCGCUUACCGAACCUUAUCAAACUCCGAAUGCCAUAUACUAUCAGUCCGGCAGUCAGACUGUGAAAGAUAAGUUCCAUGGUCAAAAGGGAAACAGCCCAGAUCGUCAGCUAAGGUCCCAAAGUGUAAGUUAAGUGGAAAAGGAUGUGGGAUUUCUAAGACAACUAGGAUGUUGGCUUAGAAGCAGCCACUCAUUAAAAGAGUGCGUAAUAGCUCACUAGUCAAGAGAUCCUGCGCCGAAAAUGUCCGGGGCUCAAACUUACCACCGAAGCUACGGGUUCACAAUUUAUUGUGAGCGGUAGAGGAGCGUCGUAAUCGGGCUGAAGUCGUACCGUAAGGAGCGGUGGACUGAUUACGAGUGAGAAUGUUGGCAUUAGUAGCGAGAUGUAGGCGAGAAUCCUACAGGCCGAAUAUCUAAGGUUUCCUGAGUAAAGUUUGUCUUCUCAGGGUUAGUCGGGACCUAAGGCGAGGCCGAAAGGCGUAGUCGAUGGACAAUUGGUUGAUAUUCCAAUACCACUAUAAUCGUUAUUAUCGAUGGUGUGACGGAGAAGGAUAGGAUGUGCCAGCUAUUGGAUGCUGGUCUAAGCGUUAAGGGAGUCAGAGUAGGCAAAUCCGCUCUGGCAAUUCUGAGGCGUGAUGGGGAAGGUUCUACGGAACCGAAGUAUCUGAUUUCAUGCUUCCAAGAAAAGCAUCUAGAGAGAGAAGUAGUGCCCGUACCGCAAACCGACACAGGUAGAUGAGGAGAGAAUCCUAAGGCCGACGGAAGAAUUGCAGUUAAGGAACUAGGCAAAUUGACCCCGUAACUUCGGGAGAAGGGGUGCCUGAGAAAUCAGGCCGCAGAGAAUAGGCACAAGCAACUGUUUAACAAAAACACAGGUCUCUGCUAAAGCGAAAGCUGAUGUAUAGGGGCUGACGCCUGCCCGGUGCUGGAAGGUUAAGGGGAACACUUAGUGGUAACGCGAAGGUGUGAACUUAAGCCCCAGUAAACGGCGGCCGUAACUAUAACGGUCCUAAGGUAGCGAAAUUCCUUGUCAGGUAAGUUCUGACCCGCACGAAUGGCGUAAUGACUUGUGCACUGUCUCAACUGCAAAUCCGGCGAAGUUGUAGUGCGAGUGAAGAUGCUCGCUACCCGCGAUUGGACGGAAAGACCCCGUAGAGCUUUACUGUAGCUUAGCAUUGAAUUUCGGUAUUGUCUGUACAGGAUAGGUGGGAGACUGGGAAACUAGGGCGUCAGCCUUAGUGGAGUCGUUGUUGGGAUA
Molecule: ribosomal RNA, 1831 nt
Filed under: Clostridium chromiireducens
Lineage: Bacteria; Bacillati; Bacillota; Clostridia; Eubacteriales; Clostridiaceae
Description: partial 23S ribosomal RNA
Rfam family: Bacterial large subunit ribosomal RNA
Source: RNAcentral